GCGGGAGUAAUUCAACUGGUAGAAUGCCACCCUUCCAAGGUGGAUGUUUGUGGGUUCGAGCCCCAUCUCCCGCU
Molecule: transfer RNA, 74 nt
Filed under: Hymenobacter mellowenesis
Lineage: Bacteria; Pseudomonadati; Bacteroidota; Cytophagia; Cytophagales; Hymenobacteraceae
Description: tRNA-Gly
Rfam family: tRNA
About the family: Transfer RNA (tRNA) molecules are approximately 80 nucleotides in length. Their secondary structure includes four short double-helical elements and three loops (D, anti-codon, and T loops). Further hydrogen bonds mediate the characteristic L-shaped molecular structure. tRNAs have two regions of fundamental functional importance: the anti-codon, which is responsible for specific mRNA codon recognition, and the 3' end, to which the tRNAs corresponding amino acid is attached (by aminoacyl-tRNA synthetases). tRNAs cope with the degeneracy of the genetic code in two manners: having more than one tRNA (with a specific anti-codon) for a particular amino acid; and 'wobble' base-pairing, i.e. permitting non-standard base-pairing at the 3rd anti-codon position.
Source: RNAcentral